Glycine soja is the source of this 981-nucleotide long non-coding RNA. RefSeq lists it as uncharacterized. The transcript is spliced from 2 exons. Lineage: Eukaryota; Viridiplantae; Streptophyta; Magnoliopsida; Fabales; Fabaceae. The record is from RefSeq and is a predicted model, not a curated record.
CAUCUAUGCCUUUUCUUUCUUAUACUUUUUCUUUUGACCUCUUCCAUCUGUCGCUCCUUCCUAUCCCUUCCUCCUCCAAUUUUCCCCUAACAACCCCUCCAAGGCCACCUUUACCUCUGAUGACGUCCUUGUCAACAUGUUAGAAGCAUGGCCACACAAGUGAUAGCCUUGGAGGACCAGGGACAAAUCUAGAGGGUGGCAUCAACACCGACGAUCAAAUCUGCUUGAAGAUAUACUUCUAGACUUAUGGGUGAGUGGUUCACUAAGAAAAACACGGUUCAUAUCUAUUUCAAGAUCCUAAUGGUUUUGAUGUCGUUGAAAACCCUUCCUCCAAUAGCGGUGGUGUUCACAUGUCCUUAAAUCAAUCAUCGAUGGUUCCAACAAUGAAGAUUCUCUAGGAGUUGAGUUUUAAAUGAGCAUGAUGGGAGAUCUCAAGUUCUUUUUAGGGCUUCAGAUGAAGCAACAUGACAAAGGUAUAUUCAUUCAUCAACAUAAAUACACUAAAGAACUUCUAAUGAAGUACAAGAUGGAAGAUGCUAAAGUAAUGGAAACUCCCAUCCAUGCUUCAAAUUCUUUGAGCAAAAUGAAUCAAGUAAACUAGUAGAUCAAACAAUCUACAGAGGUAUGAUUGGAUCACUUCUAUAUUUGAUUGCAAAUAGACCUGAUAUCAUGUAUUGUGUAUGUCUAUGUGCUAUAUUUUAGUCUAAUCCUUGAGAGUCACAUCUCAAAGUUGUUAAGAGGAUAUUACGAUAUCUAGUAGGCACUACUAACCAAAGUCUGGUCUAUAAGAAAAUUCUAGAUUUAAGGUUAGUAGGAUAUUGUGAUGCAGUCUAUGCAAGAGAUAGAGUUGAACGAAAAAGUAUAGGUGGCGGAUGCCAUUAUCUUGGACCUUGUAUAAUAUCUUGGGCAUGUAAGAAGCAAAACUCCAUUGAACUAUCUAUAUUUGAAGUUGAGUACAUGGUUGUUGCAUGUUGUUAUUCA